RNAcentral lists this ribosomal RNA (608 nucleotides) under Pseudomonas sp. RNAcentral describes it as "bacterial SSU rRNA". It matches the Rfam family "Bacterial small subunit ribosomal RNA", at positions 75 to 679 of the family's 1533-position model. Lineage: Bacteria; Pseudomonadati; Pseudomonadota; Gammaproteobacteria; Pseudomonadales; Pseudomonadaceae. The record is from RNAcentral.
GGAGCUUGCUCCUGGAUUCAGCGGCGGACGGGUGAGUAAUGCCUAGGAAUCUGCCUGGUAGUGGGGGACAACGUUUCGAAAGGAACGCUAAUACCGCAUACGUCCUACGGGAGAAAGCAGGGGACCUUCGGGCCUUGCGCUAUCAGAUGAGCCUAGGUCGGAUUAGCUAGUUGGUGAGGUAAUGGCUCACCAAGGCGACGAUCCGUAACUGGUCUGAGAGGAUGAUCAGUCACACUGGAACUGAGACACGGUCCAGACUCCUACGGGAGGCAGCAGUGGGGAAUAUUGGACAAUGGGCGAAAGCCUGAUCCAGCCAUGCCGCGUGUGUGAAGAAGGUCUUCGGAUUGUAAAGCACUUUAAGUUGGGAGGAAGGGCAGUAAGCGAAUACCUUGCUGUUUUGACGUUACCGACAGAAUAAGCACCGGCUAACUCUGUGCCAGCAGCCGCGGUAAUACAGAGGGUGCAAGCGUUAAUCGGAAUUACUGGGCGUAAAGCGCGCGUAGGUGGUUUGUUAAGUUGAAUGUGAAAGCCCCGGGCUCAACCUGGGAACUGCAUCCAAAACUGGCAAGCUAGAGUACGGUAGAGGGUGGUGGAAUUUCCUGUGUAGC